RNAcentral lists this long non-coding RNA (210 nucleotides) under Carica papaya (papaya). RNAcentral's name for it is "long non-coding RNA (CPAP_LNC002735)". The record is from RNAcentral. Lineage: Eukaryota; Viridiplantae; Streptophyta; Magnoliopsida; Brassicales; Caricaceae.
UAAGAAAUGUAAACUCUGAACUUUUAUUACACUUUCGCACUUUAAUUAUCUUUUAUUUUCUUUAGAUAUUUUCGGAGUCGUUACAAUGUAUUAAGAAUUGACAAUUAACCAGACCGUUCUCAUAUCCCGUCCAGUAAUGGGCACCAAAAACACCAUCGUUUCGAUACCCUGUCUGGUAUGAGGGUGAACUAAAUUUUACAAAACACUUAC